CAGUAGCCGCGGGAAUACGGAGGGUGCAAGCGUUAAUCGGAAUUACUGGGCGUAAAGCGCACGCAGGCGGUCUGUCAAGUCAGAUGUGAAAUCCCCGGGCUUAACCUGGGAACUGCAUUUGAAACUGGCAGACUGGAGUCUUGUAGAGGGGGGUAGAAUUCCAGGUGUAGCGGUGAAAUGCGUAGAGAUCUGGAGGAACACCAGUGGCGAAGGCGGCCCGCUGGACAAAGACUGACGCUCAGGUGCGAAAGCGUGGGGAGCAAACAGGAUUAGAUACCCGCGUAGUCCUGUCUCUUAUACA
Molecule: ribosomal RNA, 301 nt
Filed under: uncultured bacterium
Lineage: Bacteria
Description: partial 16S ribosomal RNA
Rfam family: Bacterial small subunit ribosomal RNA
Source: RNAcentral